AAGUGAGCGUACUUCCGCCUCGGGGAAACUCCUUCUUCUCGGCUCGGACUGGGCUUGACAGGCGCGUUCCCGGCAAGUGGCGGCUAGCUCCCUCUCGCUCCGCUCCGGCCGACCUCUUGUGCCGCCGCCUUCCCGUAGCUCCGGUCUCUGAAGCCGCCCCUUCCCCAUGUGCCAGGGCAGGUGUUGUGGAAGCGCAGCCCCGCUGGCCAGUCCCCCAACAUGUCCGAACUGACUCAGGAGCUGAUGGAGCUUGUAUGGGGCACCCAGAGCAGCCCCGGGCUCUCCGACACCAUCUUCUGCCGCUGGACGCAAGGGUUUGUGUUUAGUGAAUCAGAGGGAUCUGCAUUAGAACAGUUUGAAGGUGGACCCUGUGCUGUUAUUGCACCUGUUCAGGCGUUUCUUUUGAAGAAGCUCCUGUUUUCUUCUGAGAAGUCAUCUUGGAGGGAUUGCCCAGAGGAAGAGCAGAAGGAACUCCUUUGUCAUACCUUAUGUGAUAUUUUAGAAAGUGCUUGUUGUGACAACACUGGAUCGUACUGCUUGGUUUCUUGGUUAAGAGGAAAGACAGCUGAAGAAACUGCUGGUAUUUCUGGGAGUCCUGCAAAAUCUAGUUGCCAAGUGGGACAUUCUUCUGCCUUGGCUGUCGAAGAGCUUGGCUUUGAGCGAUUUCAUGCAUUAAUUCAAAAAAGAUGUUUCAGAAGUUUGUCAGAAUUAAGAGAUGCUGUCUUGGAUCAGUAUUCAAUGUGGGGAAACAAAUUUGGAGUAUUGCUUUUCCUAUAUUCCGUGUUACUGACAAAGGGUAUUGAAAACAUAAAAAAUGAAAUUGAAGAUUCAAGUGAACCUUUGAUAGAUCCUGUGUAUGGACAUGGCAGCCAAAGUUUAAUCAAUCUGCUUCUGACCGGACAUGCUGUUUCUAAUGUGUGGGAUGGUGAUAGAGAGUGCUCAGGAAUGAAACUUCUUGGUAUACAUGAACAAGCAGCUGUAGGAUUUUUAACACUAAUGGAAGCUUUAAGAUAUUGCAAGGUUGGUUCUAACUUGAAAUCUCCAAAAUUCCCUAUUUGGAUUGUUGGCAGCGAAACUCACCUCACCGUAUUUUUUGCCAAGGAUAUGGCUUUAGUUGCCCCUGAGGCUCCUUCAGAACAAGCCAGGAGAGUUUUUCAAACCUAUGAUCCAGAAGUCAGUGUCAAACUGAAAAAGUACCACCAUCUGGACAAGCUCUUCAAAAAAGACUUUUCACCUCAAAGCUUAAAUAUCCUGAGUUGGGACUCACCCAGUAGAGUGCACAAGGGCCCAGGUUCCCGGAUUCACCUGCAGGAAGGAAAGUUCUUGAGUGGCAGAACUGUUGUCUCUCCUCUUCUUCUAUCAGAAGGGAAGGAAACUGUAAGUUUUGAUGGAGGAAUACCACUCUUUGUCAUGUUUGUUAUUUUUGAUCAUCCAACCAGUCAGCCCUUAGAGUUUGGGGUUCUGAUACAAAGCUGCCUGCCAUUACAGAAACAGAAGAGCACUGCAGCCAUGCCCAUAGGCACAGUCUUGUCCAGAUUAAUGUUUCUAUCUGCUGGUUGCUUGCUAAAUACUUGGGUGCUGAGGUUUUAGCUACAGUGUAACUAAGCAAAAUAAAGUUUGCUUUUUCUUCUAAAUCUAAAACUUGAGCUUGAUACUGCUAAAAAUGCUUCUCUCUCCCCCUACCCCCAAUUACAAGUAGCUUCACAAAUUUUAUUUACUUUGGAUAGAGGAGAAGGGGAAAUAGAGAAGUGGGGGUGGGGGAAACAGCACCAGUAGCAGGCAGUGCUUCACCACUUGAGUCUUCCCCUUAUGCACUGUAGCUAGUCCCAGAAAACUGGUCUUUUAUUCAAGGCCAAUCCAUUUUAUGCAGUUUAAAACAGAGAAAGAAAAAAAAAAACUUUGAUAGGCUAAAAUUUCUUUAUUGUGAAAGACUUAAGUAUCUAAGCCUUGAAAAGGAUAUUGUGCUAAAAGUUGAUUUAAAACUGAGACAGUCUUCAGGAAUGAGUAAAUGGACAGAAACUCAGGCUCUGUACAUUUAAGGAAAUAAAUAGCUUGCUUAUUUGGAACAACGGAUUUCAAACAGCCCCACAGGCUGUGUGUGUGUGUGUGUGUGUGUGUGUGUGUGUGUGUGUGUGUGUGUGUGUGUGUGUGUGUAUGUGUGUGAUGUCCUAUUGCAUCAUCAGAAUUUGGGCCAUUAAUUAAUGCUAUUCUUCACUGAGCCAAAGAAAAGGAAUUAUCUUCCAUAAACUGGCCUUCAUCAAAAUUUAAUUGUAUUCUGCAUUUUGGCUAUCUAAACUUUGGGUCCUUUACAGCAUCCUCUAAAAAGUUAACAUCAAAGGGUCACAGUGUUUAUUUGAAAGUGACGAUUGUUUAGUAAAUCGGGUAUGUAUUAAGUAGGAAAAACUUUUUACUAUUUUAUUUGUAAGCCUGCUUAAAGAGUCAUUAGCUUUUGAGUUCACAGGUGGAAGUUAGGUAGUUGAUUUUUAUUAGAAACUAACCUUGCAAAGCUUUACCUAACUGAUCAUGAAUAUUAAUGAGCAUGCAUAGUCUAAGGAUAAUGGGCAUUGUGCCUAAAAUAACUUUGUGUAGUCUCUUUUUUGGGGGGGGUUCUUUAACUAGAAUCUGAUUAGACAUAAUAGCAUUUCUUAAAGUAAAUUUCGUUAUUUUCCCCUAGAUAAUGGAUUCAUACCUGAUUCACUUCUAGAAGAUGUGAUGAAAGCAUUGGAUCUUGUUUCAGAUCCUGAAUACAUAAAUCUCAUGAAGAAUAAACUAGAUCCAGAAGGAUUAGGGAUCAUAUUAUUGGGUCCAUUUCUUGAAGAAUUU
RNA transcript from Erinaceus europaeus (western European hedgehog), 2823 nucleotides. It is a transcript of the gene named MINDY lysine 48 deubiquitinase 3, with no coding region annotated. NCBI's taxonomy places the organism in Eukaryota, Metazoa, Chordata, Mammalia, Eulipotyphla, Erinaceidae. The record is from RefSeq and is a predicted model, not a curated record. The transcript has 14 exons.